This is a non-coding RNA of Schizosaccharomyces pombe (fission yeast), 1992 nucleotides long. The record is from the annotation of a GenBank genome assembly. Lineage: Eukaryota; Fungi; Ascomycota; Schizosaccharomycetes; Schizosaccharomycetales; Schizosaccharomycetaceae.
AUAAGAGCAAAAAAGAUGGAUAUAGAAGCACCAUACCAAACAUAAAUUUGAAUUUGGUUAGGAAGAAUGCAUAACUUUGUCUGAUAAGAACUUUUUUGAUCGGCUUUAGGGUUGUCAUAAGGAUAGUUCAAUGAGAGAAGUUGAUAUCCCGGAUAUAGUAUGCCGCUGGUCAUAGAAAAUGCCUUCACAUUAUAUUCCGUGGUGGCUGCUUCUCGAGUAUCCACCUGGUAAUUAUGCACAACUUCGCAAUAAUCGUGAUCGUCUCCAGCAAAUGCGGCAAUUGGUUCAACAGCUUUUAAAAUAGACUCGGAAAGUUCUGGCAAAAGCAAGUUUUGAUACUGAUAUCCCAAACCAUAUUUGAUAACAUCAUCUUUUUCACGAAGCUCCCCGCAAGAAUUGAUGGCAGGGCGAAACAAAGGAACGUGAGAUAGAAGGAUCCUAGGUCUCGAGUUGUCCUUAUUUGUUUCAAAGCUUUUUAAGAAGUCUCUAGCCGGUUGAUAAACUUGGGGAUUGACGUUGUUUGAUAAACGAAUUCCAUCUACAAUAACCAGUGUAUGAUUGCCAACGUCUAUUGAUCGAGAUGUUGGACCAAAAAGAGAUUCAAAUCUUUGAAUAUCCUUAACAAUAGCGUGAUUACCAAAUCCAAUAUCAUGAUUGCCAGGGUAGAUUUCCAAUUUAUUGGUGAAUUUUGGGUCAAGGACGUUCAUCAUUCUGAAAUAAUCUUUUUUAAAUUCUUCAGUUGCGAAUUCUCUACCUGUGUCCAUCAAAUCGCCCAUUAUGAAAGUAAUAUCUGGCUUCAGUGAUUUAUGAAGAUAACGCCAAUGCCGACGAAGAAACUGGUCGGAAAUCCAUUUAACGAUUCCAAUUAAAGGUCGAGGAUAAUCAUAAGUCAAAUCGUCAACUAAUUGAGGAUCCGCAACCAAUGCAAUCCUUACUGGAUUCCCAGUACUCUCCCAUUGCUCCCAAGACCGCCAAUCGCACUUUUUAUGUGGCCUUGUAUGAAUAAUUUUCUCGAGAUAAAGAACAUAAAAACAAAAAGCAAUUAUGACUAAAAAACGACCUACUUUCAUCUUCAGUUAUUCUUUUCUUCUAUUAAAAAUGCACGCUCUAAGAAAGUAAGAAUAGUAAAUCGAGAUAGUAUGCCAAGUAUAUACACUACGUUCUAAUUUAUCGAUGCAGAAUAAAGGUCGAGUAAUUUCAAAGCAAUCUAAUGAAACUCCACGUUUACAAUAAAACCGAAAUGUUGGAGAAAUGACACUAGACCCUAAUGAUUAGUUAAAUUUAUUAUUCCUGUUCUUAGUAUGACUUUGAAACAGGUGUAUUUUUCUUCUAGAUAAACCUUGUUAGUAAAGACUUCAAAAAUUGUGAAGUUUGGAAAACUGAAGGACCUUUGGCUCAAGAAGCGACUGGCCUCAUGUAGAGAAUCUUAAUAUGAAGCUUUGCGGUGCUCAAUUUCUUGAUUGAAUACCCACUAUUUUCACUCAACAAGUAAUAUUCACCUUCUAAUUGAUUUAAUUUAUAAACUGACUCAUUAAUUGCUUUGUAUUUAGGUCGAUAUUGAACAAUCUUCAGAAGCACGUAGCUAGAGAGGAUAAGUUCUAAAUGUCGCCUAAUCAGAGAAAGGUACAAUCUUAUUUUAAAUUACUCAUAUAGAAAACUAUUAAGGUCCAGAAUUCAUAUAGACGAAUACAUUCUAUAGUUUAAUUUUAUCAUAAAAGUGACUUUUCGUGAUACUUCGGCCUUACUAAUUACUAGUUUAAAUAUGUAACGUAAUAUCUAUUUUGACAAUGACUAGAUAUUUAAUCAAUAUAAAAAUUCCAAGAAACUGAAAAAUUCCAGUAUUUCUCUUAUAGUAAAAAGCACCCAAAAACGAGAGAAACAGGUUAACUAUAGUCAAAAGCCAAUGAGUAAGAUAUUUCGUUAACAUACUUCAAGAAUCAAGACUUGAAAGCAAUGCUCCGUGAAAUUGAACAUCUGAAAAAUUCAAGAAAA